RNAcentral lists this ribosomal RNA (251 nucleotides) under uncultured bacterium. Its description in RNAcentral is "partial 16S ribosomal RNA". It matches the Rfam family "Bacterial small subunit ribosomal RNA", at positions 525 to 775 of the family's 1533-position model. The record is from RNAcentral.
ACGGGGGAUGCGAGCGUUAUCCGGAUUUAUUGGGUUUAAAGGGUGCGUAGGCGGCGAAUUAAGUCAGCGGUGAAAGACCGGGGCUCAACCCUGGAAGUGCCGUUGAUACUGAUUGGCUAGAAUACCCUUGCCGUGGGAGGAAUGAGUGGUGUAGCGGUGAAAUGCAUAGAUAUCACUCAGAACACCGAUUGCGAAGGCAUCUCACGAAGGGGCGAUUGACGCUGAGGCACGAAAGCGUGGGGAUCGAACAG